CCUACGGGUGGCAGCAGUAGGGAAUAUUGCUCAAUGGGGUAAACCCUGAAGCAGCAACGCCGCGUGGAGGAUGAAGGUUUUCGGAGUGUAAACUCCUUUUGUUAGAGAAGAUAAUGACGGUAUCUAACGAAUAAGCACCGGCUAACUCCGUGCCAGCAGCCGCGGUAAUACGGAGGGUGGAAGCGUUACUCGGAAUCACUGGGCGUAAAGAGCGCGUAGGCGGGAUAGCAAGGCAGAUGUGAAAUCCUAGGGCUUAACCAUAGAACUGCAUUUGAAACUGUUAUUCUAGAGUAUGGGAGAGGUAGGUGGAAUUCUUGGUGUAGGGGUAAAAUCCGUAGAGAUCAAGAGGAAUACUCAUUGCGAAGGCGACCUGCUAGAACAUAACUGACGCUGAUGCGCGAAAGCGUGGGGAGCAAACAGGAUUAGAUACCCCAGUAGUC
Molecule: ribosomal RNA, 440 nt
Filed under: uncultured bacterium
Lineage: Bacteria
Description: partial 16S ribosomal RNA
Rfam family: Bacterial small subunit ribosomal RNA
Source: RNAcentral